Molecule: ribosomal RNA, 498 nt
Filed under: uncultured bacterium
Lineage: Bacteria
Description: partial 16S ribosomal RNA
Rfam family: Bacterial small subunit ribosomal RNA
Source: RNAcentral
GACGAACGCUGGCGGCAUGCCUAACACAUGCAAGUCGAACGGAGAUUACUUCGGUAAUCUUUGUGGCGGACGGGCGAGUAAGGCUAGGGCAAGCUGCCCUCGAGAUGGGUACACCAUCCCGCAAUGGGUGCUAAUAAGGAAUGUGACAGCAAUCUCGCAUGAGGAUGCUGUGGUAGAUGACCUCUAUGUAUAAGCUAUCGCUAGAGGAUGGACCUGCGUCUGAGUAGCUAGUUGGUGGGGUAACGGCCUACCAAGGCGAGGUGCAGUAGCUGGUCUGAGAGGAGGAAAUGCCACACUGGGACGGAGACACGGCCCGGAACCCUAGGAGAGGGAGCAGGGCGGAACCUUUCGCAAUGGGAGAAAGCCUGAAGAAGCCAUGACGCGGGAGUGAUGAAGGAAGUCGUUCCGUAAAGCUCUUGUGUGUAUGAGGAAUGUGCAGCUUGUAAAUAAGAAAAUGAAAUGACGGUAGUAAACGAAUAAGCCACGGCUAACUACGUG